RNAcentral lists this transfer RNA (74 nucleotides) under Bacteroidales bacterium. RNAcentral describes it as "tRNA-Arg". It matches the Rfam family "tRNA". Rfam says of the family: Transfer RNA (tRNA) molecules are approximately 80 nucleotides in length. Their secondary structure includes four short double-helical elements and three loops (D, anti-codon, and T loops). Further hydrogen bonds mediate the characteristic L-shaped molecular structure. tRNAs have two regions of fundamental functional importance: the anti-codon, which is responsible for specific mRNA codon recognition, and the 3' end, to which the tRNAs corresponding amino acid is attached (by aminoacyl-tRNA synthetases). tRNAs cope with the degeneracy of the genetic code in two manners: having more than one tRNA (with a specific anti-codon) for a particular amino acid; and 'wobble' base-pairing, i.e. permitting non-standard base-pairing at the 3rd anti-codon position. The record is from RNAcentral. Lineage: Bacteria; Pseudomonadati; Bacteroidota; Bacteroidia; Bacteroidales.
GGCUCCGUGGCUCAACUGAAUAGAGCAUCAGACUUCGGAUCUGAGGGUUGCGGGUUUGAAUCCCGCCGGGGUCA